Molecule: long non-coding RNA, 415 nt
Organism: Dioscorea cayenensis subsp. rotundata (Guinea yam)
Lineage: Eukaryota; Viridiplantae; Streptophyta; Magnoliopsida; Dioscoreales; Dioscoreaceae
Exons: 3
Source: RefSeq, a predicted model, not a curated record
CUUUUCAUAUUUCCCAAAUUUACAUUUAAAUCUUCUCUCACCCCUGUACAUUCUCCUCUCUCAUUUCUAAGCCCUAAAUUCUGCUGCGAUUCCACCGUCUCCACAAUCCGGCCAAGCUUCGCCGGACCUUCACCGGAGUCCAUCAAAUCUCUUAGUUCAAGCAAAGAACCUUCAAGUUUUGAUACUCUUUGCUGUUGUUGGUGGUGGUGGUGUUGUUUAUCUUCACAUUUGAACAACAUCUUGAAGGCAAUUGCACCGGUUACAAUAUCGUCACAAUGAUGUCUUGCCCGAUGUUUCGUUGCUUUAAGUGUUGGGUUUUUAUUAAGUGUAAUAACUAUAGUGAAUGACACUUAUGAAAGUGUGGAGGUUAUUAUGUGAACUUUUUUUGUUGUUGAAAAAUUGAAGUAAGUGUGGA